AACCUACCCCGGUGUGGGGGAUAACGGGUCGAAAGACUCGCUAAUCCCGCAUACGAUCCGCCUCGGCGGAGGAAAGCCGUAAGGCGCACUGGGCGGGGGUCGCGUCCCAUUAGAUAGUUGGUGUGGUAAUGGCGCACCAAGUCGAUGAUGGGUCUCUGGUCUGAGAGGACGACCAGACAGAUUGGGACUGAGACACGGCCCAAACUCCUACGGGGGGCAGCAGCAAGGAAUUUUCGGCAAUGGGCGCAAGCCUGACCGAGCAACGCCGCGUGGAGGAUGACGGCUCUUGGGUUGUAGACUCCUUUUGGGGGGGACGAUAAUGACGGUACCCUCCGAAUCAGGCCCGGCUAACUACGUGCCAGCAGCCGCGGUAAUACGUAGGGGCCAAGCGUUGUCCGGAAUUACUGGGCGUAAAGCGUGGGUAGGUGGUCGGUGAUGUGCCGCGUGAAAGCGCCGGAGUAAUGCCGGCGAGGUCGCGGUAGACACACGGACUCGAGGCUCGCAGAGGAACGUGGAAUUCCCGGUGUAGUGGUGAAAUGCGUAGAUAUCGGGAGGAACACCAGUGGCGCAAGCGGCGUUCUGGGCGAGACCUGACACUGAGCCACGACGGCGUGGGGAGCAAACAGGAUUAGAUACCCUGGUAGUCCACGCAGUAAACGAUGCAUACCAGGUGUGGGAUGGCGUUCGCGUCGUUCCGCGCCGCAGCUUACGCGAUGAGUAUGCCGCCUGGGGACUACGAGCGCAAGCUUAAAACUCAAAGGAAUUGACGGGGGCCCGCACAAGCAGCGGAGCGUGUGGUUUAAUUCGACGCAACGCGAAGAACCUUACCUAG
RNAcentral lists this ribosomal RNA (832 nucleotides) under uncultured bacterium. Its description in RNAcentral is "bacterial SSU rRNA". It matches the Rfam family "Bacterial small subunit ribosomal RNA", at positions 123 to 978 of the family's 1533-position model. The record is from RNAcentral.